RNAcentral lists this ribosomal RNA (487 nucleotides) under uncultured bacterium. Its description in RNAcentral is "bacterial SSU rRNA". It matches the Rfam family "Bacterial small subunit ribosomal RNA", at positions 28 to 529 of the family's 1533-position model. The record is from RNAcentral.
GAUGAACGCUGGCGGCGUGCCUAACACAUGCAAGUCAAGGAGAAGGUAACCUUCGGGGAACCGGAUACUGGCGCACGGGUGAGUAACACGUGGAUAAUCUACCCUUUACACAGACAUAACUCAGGGAAACUUGAGCUAAUAUCUGAUGAGGCCUCCGGGUCAAAGCUUCGGCGGUAAAGGAUGAGUCUGCGUCUGAUUAGCUAGUUGGUAAGGUAAUGGCUUACCAAGGCGACGAUCAGUAACUGGUCUGAGAGGACGAUCAGUCACACUGGAACUGAGACACGGUCCAGACUCCUACGGGAGGCAGCAGUGAGGAAUUUUGGGCAAUGGGGGAAACCCUGAUCCAGCGACGCCGCGUGUGGGAUGAAUGGGUUAUGCCCUGUAAACCACUGUCAGCAGAGAAGAAAAGGUUCCUUUGGAACCCGGGACUGUAUCUGCAGAGGAAGGACCGGCUAACUACGUGCCAGCAGCCGCGGUAAAGUCAGUG